AUGUGUUUAUUGAAAGACCUAUAUCGAUCAAGGAUCGACAGGUUAAGAAGCUCCGAAAAGAAGCGUGUACCUAUUGAGUAGGUCAAUUGGAAUGCCCGUGAAGGUCCCUAAAUUACUGUGGAAGUUAAGUCCAUUAUACGACAGAAAGUACUUCCAUCUUUUUUAGUAAAUCUCGGGGUCGAGAUUUCUUUAAGGGGGUGAGGAUGUAACACCUCGUAAAAUCGUGUCCAAUGAUGUGUUGACACGUGUAAUGAACCCUAAUAAAGUCAAACGUUGACUAUGAGGGACUAAUUUCGUCAAAAAUCGAAAACCUUGAUUUUAGAAGGACCGAAAGUGUCAACAUGCCUAGACUAGGCCUCUGAGUGACCUUAUACGAUGUCCGUAUUCUCAAACGAGCCACUUGUUGGACGAGAGGAGCCGUUUGCGUAAUUAUUUGAAAGUUUGCGCAAUGAAGGGUUAAAAGUGUCAACAUGUUAAUUCUUACCUCUGAGUGACCUUUUAACGUACCGAGAGCUUCAUUAUGUUUCAUCAUAUUCUCGGGAUUGCCUAAUAUUGGCUAUGCAAGCCUUUUAUGCCAAUAAGUGAAGUUACACGCAAGUUUGUGAGUUAGAGGGGUUAAAAGUGUCAACAUGUUUAAUUAUACCUCUGAAUGACCUCUUAACGAACCUGAAACAUUAUGAUGUACAAUCAUACUUUCAAGAAUGCUUAUGAUGAGCUACAUAGGGCUUUGAUGCUAUUAAAUGAUGAUACGCGCAAGUUACGCGUUAGAGGGACCAAAAGCGUCAACAUUGGAUAAUACACCUUUGAGUGGCCUUUUGAGCGAACUGGAGCAUCGUAAUAUUUGAACAUAUGCUCGGGAUACUUCAUAUGAGCCAUGGAAGGCUUUAAUGUCGAUAAAUGGUAUUAAGCGCAACUUUACGCAUUAAAAAGGACUAAACGCGUCAUCGGGUGAAACUACACGUUAGAAGGUCUUUUAAAGGAACCGGGAACUUCACAAUGAUUAAUCGUACAUCCAGGAAUGCCCAAGAUUUGUCGCUUAUGAUGAUUAUACCUUACAUUAUCAUAAAACAUAAUAUACAUGAAGUAUUGGGUCAUUUAUGUCACAUUUAGAAGUUAAAAAUGGUUCAGAAAAAGACAGGGACUAAUGUUGUAAACAUCUGAAACUUGCUUCGGCUGGUUGGGCCUAACCACGGGCCAUGAGCCCAAUGGGCUGCAUCUUUUCGUGGGCCAACUUUAACAAACAACAACAUUUAUGUGCUGUUUCGAAGUUAUACAAAGAACAGGGACCAAAACCGCAACUCAGCAAACUUGUUGUCUGGGCCUGACUUUCAGGCGGGCCGCGUAGGCCUUGGGCCGCUUCUUACGCGGGCUGCGUGGCCCGUAUCUGCUGUUGAUUAUUUUUUUUAUUUGUUCUUGCUUGCUCUUCACUCAUAUUUCAUUCUAGCCAAUUAUAAUCGAAACCUUGGUCACCAAGACAGCUAUAACAGCUGUUAUAACAUGUGUAAUGAUCUGGAUAACCCUCCCUAACACUUGUCUUGAUCCAAUCAACACCCAAAAACUAUAUAUAGGAUGAAAGUUCAUCCAUUUCUUUGCUCAUUAUCAUUCUAUCAUCUUAUCUUUCAAUCCUGGAGCUCCUGAAUUGAAUAGAACUUAUUUUCUUGUAGAGAAGUUAGCUAGGACCCUUUGUAAGUGUCUUAGCCCUCUUUAUAAUUCAAUUUUGUGAUUUAAGAACCGAAAAGUCAAGUUAUUGUAAAUUAACUUUGACUCUCGGUUUAAGCUCCAUUGGUCCAGCCACUGAUCAAAAUGAAGGUGGGUAUAAGACCAUAGUUAGGUAGGUGAUUAACCCUUAAAAGGGCACCUCCUAAUUCCUUCGUUUGCUUAGUUAAUUGUCGGGUUAUGCCAUUUAGGUAAAAAGUCAAACUUGGUAGAUUUGUGAAUAAUAAUUAAAACCAUAGAUGCAAAGGUUAUAAAUUAUAUUUUAACGCUCUAAUAACUUGGUAAUUAUUAUUAGAACAUGUCUAAGCAUGCUCAACCCGACAAUUAUGAGUUUAGGGUCGGUUCGCAACCGAAAGUCGCAAAAGCUUGACUUUUGCUUUGACUUUCAGUUCUGACCCAAUCUAGCUUAAAUCCUUUAUGUUUUAAGCUUUCAUUAGGACCAUAUUAUGUUGUAGUAAAUGACGGGUGGUCCAUAGGACAACCCUUAAGUGCCUUAAAAAGAUUAAAAUCCCAUGCUUUACACGUUUAAUUGUUUGAACUUGGUAACUAUUAGUUGUUUGGACGUGCAGGUGCAAAUGGAGCAUAAAAGGGAAAGAAUUUGGAGCAUCAAUAAAAAAUCAAUUUUUGGAAUUGAAGAGUUAAAAGGGUAGCAUGAUAGAGGAUGAAAUUACGAGAACGUAGGCGAAAACGGUGAAGAAAACGGAGUUGAAACGAAAAAGUUAUGCUGAAAACAAGUUUUCAGCAUUGCCUGCCGUAAGACAGAAGACAAGGACCGUAUGACUUGGCUGCUCGCCGUAAGCUACGGCCCUCUGGCGUAGCUUACGGCGCCGACUGAUCUAAAAUCGUAACUUAUGCAUUUAAUUGUCAUUUUCAUGGGGUUUAAGUGUGUCUCAUCAUAUGUUUCGGUUACACAACACUUGGGGACGAAUUUUGGCUAAUUUUUGGAGCUUGAAGACUAUCUUUAUCAUUGUUUUUCAUGUUCUUAACUUGUUUGAAGAUUAAAACUUGGUUUAUGAUGUUUGUUCAAGCCAUGAGUGGCUAAACAUUUUGUGGUCAUCUUUGGUGGAAGGUUUU
RNAcentral lists this long non-coding RNA (2790 nucleotides) under Helianthus annuus (common sunflower). RNAcentral describes it as "hypothetical non coding rna". Lineage: Eukaryota; Viridiplantae; Streptophyta; Magnoliopsida; Asterales; Asteraceae. The record is from RNAcentral.